UACGUAGGGUGCAAGCGUUUGUCCGGAAUUAUUGGGCGUAAAGAGCUCGUAGGCGGUUUGUCGCGUCUGCUGUGAAAACGCGAGGCUCAACCUCGCGCCUGCAGUGGGUACGGGCAGACUGGAGUGCGGUAGGGGAGAUUGGAAUUCCUGGUGUAGCGGUGGAAUGCGCAGAGUAUCAGGAGGAACACCGAUGGCGAAGGCAGAUCUCUGGGCCGGUAACUGACGCUGAGGAGCGAAAGCGUGGGGGAGCGAACAGG
RNAcentral lists this ribosomal RNA (257 nucleotides) under uncultured bacterium. Its description in RNAcentral is "partial 16S ribosomal RNA". It matches the Rfam family "Bacterial small subunit ribosomal RNA", at positions 524 to 776 of the family's 1533-position model. The record is from RNAcentral.